CUGUAGGACGUGGUAAGCCGAGGGGGAGGCGAGGAGGGCGACGCCAAGCCCCCACUACAGCCACAUGCCCCACUGUUGAGUGCUCCCUGUCAUCCAGUGUGGAGGUUCCACUUACUGCAACCUCAACAAAACUAAAUCCUCAAGAGGAAUUUGAAAAAAAUAUGGAGAGGCUCUCUGAUAUUUUGGCGUCAUGUCCUUCUGCUGCUCAGCCUCAAAGUAGCUCUGCGUCAUCAUGGUCUUUUCGGCAGCAGAAAGCCUCAGAGCGCUGGAAAGAAGCAAGACCAUACCACCUAAAGUGCCUUAUGUCAAAAGAGGCUGUUGGUCAUCCCCUGUGUUGGCUUUGCAACGAGCCUGCUGUGAUUAGGUGCAGAGAGUGUCUUCCUGAGGAGUGGUUCU
This is a non-coding RNA of Pimephales promelas (fathead minnow), 396 nucleotides long. NCBI's taxonomy places the organism in Eukaryota, Metazoa, Chordata, Actinopteri, Cypriniformes, Leuciscidae. The record is from RefSeq and is a predicted model, not a curated record.